This 446-nucleotide ribosomal RNA is filed under the name uncultured bacterium. RNAcentral's name for it is "partial 16S ribosomal RNA". It matches the Rfam family "Bacterial small subunit ribosomal RNA", at positions 338 to 795 of the family's 1533-position model. The record is from RNAcentral.
CCUACGGGCGGCAGCAGUCGAGAAUCAUUCACAAUGGGGGACACCCUGAUGUUGCGACGCCGCGUGGGGGAAUGAAGGUUUUCGUAUUGUAAACCCCUGUCAUGUGGGAGCAAAUUAAAAAGAUAGUACCACAAGAGGAAGAGACGGCUAACUCUGUGACCGCAGGCGCGGUAAUGCAGCGGUCUCAAGCGUUGUUCGGAAUAUCUGGGCGUAAAGGGUGCGUAGACGGUUUCGUAAGUCGUGGGUGAAAGGCGCGGGAUGAAACCGCGGACGGCACAUGAUCCUGCGAGACUAGAGGAAAGGAGGGGGAACCGGAAUUCUCGGUGUAGCAGUGAAAUGCGUAGAUAUCGGGAGGAACACUCGGGGCGAAGGCGGGUUCCUGGACAUUAACUGACGCUGAGGCACGAAGGCCAGGGGAGCGAAAGGGAUUAGAUACCCUGGUAGUC